RNAcentral lists this ribosomal RNA (253 nucleotides) under uncultured bacterium. RNAcentral's name for it is "partial 16S ribosomal RNA". It matches the Rfam family "Bacterial small subunit ribosomal RNA", at positions 524 to 776 of the family's 1533-position model. The record is from RNAcentral.
UACGUAGGCAGCAAGCGUUGUUCGGAAUUACUGGGCGUAAAGAGUGUGUAGGCGGUGCUCUAAGUCUGGUGUGAAAUCUCCCGGCUUAACUGGGAGGGUGCGGCGGAGACUGGAGUGCUAGAGUGUGGGAGAGGUAAGCGGAAUUCCUGGUGUAGCGGUGAAAUGCGUAGAUAUCAGGAGGAACACCUGUGGUGUAGACAGCUUACUGGACCACGACUGACGCUGAGACACGAAAGCGUGGGUAGCAAACAGG